AACAGGAUUAGAUACCCGGGUAGUCCAUGCCGUAAACGAUGAGUGCUAAGUGUUGGAGGGUUUCCGCCCUUCAGUGCUGCAGCUAACGCAUUAAGCACUCCGCCUGGGGAGUACGACCGCAAGGUUGAAACUCAAAGGAAUUGACGGGGGCCCGCACAAGCGGUGGAGCAUGUGGUUUAAUUCGAUGCUACGCGAAGAACCUUACCAGGUCUUGACAUCUUCUGCCAACCUAAGAGAUUAGGUGUUCCCUUCGGGGACAGAAUGACAGGUGGUGCAUGGUUGUCGUCAGCUCGUGUCGUGAGAUGUUGGGUUAAGUCCCGCAACGAGCGCAACCCUUAUUGUUAGUUGCCAGCAUUUAGUUGGGCACUCUAGCAAGACUGCCGGUGACAAACCGGAGGAAGGUGGGGAUGACGUCAAAUCAUCAUGCCCCUUAUGACCUGGGCUACACACGUGCUACAAUGGACGGUACAACGAGUCGCGAAACCGCGAGGUCAAGCUAAUCUCUUAAAGUCGUUCUCAGUUCGGAUUGUAGGCUGCAACUCGCCUACAUGAAGUUGGAAUCGCUAGUAAUCGUGGAUCAGCAUGCCACGGUGAAUACGUUCCCGGGCCUUGUACACACCGCCCGUCACACCAUGAGAGUUUGUAACACCCAAAGCCGGUGAGGUAACCUUCGGGGACCAGCCGUCUAAGGUGGNANAGAUGAUUAGGGUGAAGUCGUAACAAGGUAACC
Molecule: ribosomal RNA, 730 nt
Filed under: uncultured Lactobacillus sp.
Lineage: Bacteria; Bacillati; Bacillota; Bacilli; Lactobacillales; Lactobacillaceae
Description: bacterial SSU rRNA
Rfam family: Bacterial small subunit ribosomal RNA
Source: RNAcentral